UGCUCUACUGUCCUACCCAGACUGACAGGUAUUACAACAGCCCAGUGCUCUACUGUCCUACCCAGACUGACAGGUAUUACAGCCCAGUGCUCUACUGUCCUACCCAGACUGACAGGUAUUACAGCCCAGUGCUCUACUGUCCUACCCAGACUGACAGGUAUUACAACAGCCCAGUGCUCUACUGUCCUACCCAGACUGACAGGUAUUACAGCCCAGUGCUCUACUGUCCUACCCAGACUGACAGGUAUUACAGCCCAGUGCUCUACUGUCCUACCCAGACUGACAGGUAUUACA
Molecule: long non-coding RNA, 294 nt
Organism: Salvelinus fontinalis (brook trout)
Lineage: Eukaryota; Metazoa; Chordata; Actinopteri; Salmoniformes; Salmonidae
Exons: 5
Source: RefSeq, a predicted model, not a curated record